This is a non-coding RNA of Danio rerio (zebrafish), 969 nucleotides long. NCBI's taxonomy places the organism in Eukaryota, Metazoa, Chordata, Actinopteri, Cypriniformes, Danionidae. The record is from Ensembl.
GAAGAAAAAGUUUGGUUUUUCAAAGAUUCACGUGGAUUCCGGUCAGAAAGAUGCAUAUGAGGAAGCUCGACUCAAACAUCCACACGCAACUGUGAUUUCUGACUGGUAGACAGAUGAGGAUGAUGAUCGCCUGUCAUACAUCUAAAGACAGAACAGGGACAGUAUAGACACAUCUAUACCGUGAUGAAGAAAAAUUACUUGGAACAAAGAGGCUGGAUAAAAGGCAGCACGACUGACUGAAGUUUUAAAAUCAUGCAACGUCAUAAAGCAGCAGCUGGGCCUGAUUCUCACAAAACCAAAACAGACGUGAUGAAAUUCCAGAUGUAAACACAUUUGACCUUCCUUUGGCCAAUUUGAUUUGGAAAAGCUUGAAAAUCAACUGAAGGAGCAGCCUGAACAAAUGAAGAAACUGAUGGAGUGAGGACAAAUGUCCAUACCACACCACUGAUAAGGAAAUGGAAAAAUGCAUUACAAGGUAGCUACAACUUGCCCCUGACAGGGAUGGAGGAAGAAAGAAGAGAAAGCUAAUGUGUCAAAUGUCUACAUCACUAUUUUGUUUUAUUUUUUAAACAACAUUUUAAGUGUAUUAGGAUGUUCCCUGAUACUUGAACAAUUUGUUUCUUUCAUUUGCAUUUAUAUAUAUAUAUAUAUAUAUAUAUAUAUAUAUAUAUAUAUAUAUAUAUAUAUAUAUAUAUAUAUAUAUAUAUAUAUGUAUAUAUAUAUAUAUAUAUAUAUAUAUAUGUAUAUAUGUAUAUGUAUAUAUAUGUGUGUGUGUGUAUGUGUGUGUGUAUAUAUGUAUGGUAUGUAUGUAUGUAUGUAUGUGUGUGCGCCAAAUUCUGAAGAAACAUCUUGAUACAUUUUUAAUAAACGUAAUACAAAUAAAAUUAUAAAUAUAAAAUUGCACAAGACGUGUAUAUAUAUGAAAUGUAUAAUCAUCUCACUCAUGUCUUGCUGUGUGCAAUUGAUUUU